UAGCCGUAAACGAUACUCGCUAGGUGUCGGCCACGGUGCGACCGUUGUCGGUGCCGUAGGGAAGCCGUGAAGCGAGCCACCUGGGAAGUACGGCCGCAAGGCUGAAACUUAAAGGAAUUGGCGGGGGAGCACCACAACGGGUGGAGCUUGCGGUUUAAUCGGAUUCAACGCCGGAAAUCUUACCGGGACCGACAGCAACAUGAAGGCCAGGCUGAAGACUUUGCCGGAUUAGCUGAGAGGUGGUGCAUGGCGUAGUCGUGU
This 261-nucleotide ribosomal RNA is filed under the name uncultured archaeon. Its description in RNAcentral is "partial 16S ribosomal RNA". It matches the Rfam family "Archaeal small subunit ribosomal RNA", at positions 748 to 1009 of the family's 1478-position model. The record is from RNAcentral.